CCGUCUAGGGCGCAUGCGUCUAGAGAGCCUCCGAAAGCAACGGGGAGGGGCGCCGUGAAGAACGCCCACGGAAGGCGGCGGUGUUAAAACCGCGGUUUCCUCACAGUUCCGAAAGAUGGCGCCACCGGGUGACAGCAGGGAAUGAAAUCGUUUGCCGAGAAAGCUGUAAGCUGCAAUAUUUGCAGUAUGAUUUCAGUUAUUCUCUUGUUAAUUUUGAAGCUGCUGAAUCAACAUUUCCUCCUCCACCUCCCUUUCUCAACUUCAGGAAGAUAUUGUAAGCAUUUGUAACAAAGAGAGCAAAUUUUGGAGCAGUUAACCUGGCCAGCAGUAACAAGUACCUCACUCUCUGAACAUAGUGAUGAACUGGGAGCCGGUGAUGUCUUUUCUGAAUUUUGUCCCUCCAGUCCUUCCAAAAAUGUUAUAAAUGCCUUACUAUUUGAA
Molecule: long non-coding RNA, 441 nt
Organism: Microcebus murinus (gray mouse lemur)
Lineage: Eukaryota; Metazoa; Chordata; Mammalia; Primates; Cheirogaleidae
Source: RefSeq, a predicted model, not a curated record